UGGUUCACCAAGGCGUCGACGGGUAGCCGCCCUGAAAGGUGACCGGCCACACUGGGACUGAGACACGGCCCAGACUCCUACGGGAGGCAGCAGUGGGGAAUAUUGCACAAUGGGCGAAAGCCUGAUGCAGCAACGCCGCGUGAGGGAUGACGGCCUUCGGGUUGUAAACCUCUUUUAGCAGGGAAGAAGCGAAAGUGACGGUACCUGCAGAAAAAGCGCCGGCUAACUACGUGCCAGCAGCCGCGGUAAUACGUAGGGCGCAAGCGUUAUCCGGAAUUAUUGGGCGUAAAGAGCUCGUAGGCGGUCUGUCGCGUCUGCUGUGAAAUCCCGAGGCUCAACCUCGGGUCUGCAGUGGGUACGGGCAGACUAGAGUGCGGUAGGGGAGAUUGGAAUUCCUGGUGUAGCGGUGGAAUGCGCAGAUAUCAGGAGGAACACCGAUGGCGAAGGCAGAUCUCUGGGCCGUUACUGACGCUGAGGAGCGAAAGGGUGGGGAGCAAACAGGCUUAGAUACCCUGGUAGUCCACCCCGUAAACGUUGGGAACUAGUUGUGGGGUCCAUUCCACGGAUUCCGUGACGCAGCUAACGCAUUAAGUUCCCCGCCUGGGGAGUACGGCCGCAAGGCUAAAACUCAAAGGAAUUGACGGGGACCCGCACAAGCGGCGGAGCAUGCGGAUUAAUUCGAUGCAACGCGAAGAACCUUACCAAGGCUUGACAUAUACGAGAACGGGCCAGAAAUGGUCAACUCUUUGGACACUCGUAAACAGGUGGUGCAUGGUUGUCGUCAGCUCGUGUCGUGAGAUGUUGGGUUAAGUCCCGCAACGAGCGCAACCCUCGUUCUAUGUUGCCAGCACGUAAUGGUGGGAACUCAUGGGAUACUGCCGGGGUCAACUCGGAGGAAGGUGGGGAUGACGUCAAAUCAUCAUGCCCCUUAUGUCUUGGGCUUCACGCAUGCUACAAUGGCCGGUACAAAGGGCUGCAAUACCGCGAGGUGGAGCGAAUCCCAAAAAGCCGGUCCCAGUUCGGAUUGAGGUCUGCAACUCGACCUCAUGAAGUCGGAGUCGCUAGUAAUCGCAGAUCAGCAACGCUGCGGUGAAUACGUUCCCGGGUCUUGUACACACCGCCCGUCAAGUCAUGAAAGUCGGUAACACCUGAAGCCGGUGGCCCAACCCUUGUGGAGGGAGCCGUCGAAGGUGAUCGA
Molecule: ribosomal RNA, 1198 nt
Filed under: Microbacterium oleivorans
Lineage: Bacteria; Bacillati; Actinomycetota; Actinomycetes; Micrococcales; Microbacteriaceae
Description: bacterial SSU rRNA
Rfam family: Bacterial small subunit ribosomal RNA
Source: RNAcentral